RNAcentral lists this ribosomal RNA (468 nucleotides) under uncultured bacterium. RNAcentral's name for it is "partial 16S ribosomal RNA". It matches the Rfam family "Bacterial small subunit ribosomal RNA", at positions 28 to 507 of the family's 1533-position model. The record is from RNAcentral.
GACGAACGCUGGCGGCGUGCCUAACACAUGCAAGUCGAACGGAAAGGUCGUGCUUUUGUGGGGUGGUCGAGUGGCGAAGGGGGGAGUAACACGUGAGUAACCUGUCCCUGUCAGUGGGAUAACUUCAGGAAACUGGGGCUAAUACCGCAUAGGAUCUCUUGCUGCAUGGUGGGGGUUGGUAAGUUUCGGCGGUUGGGGAUGGACUCGCGGCUUAUGGGCUUGAUGGUGGGGUAGUGGCAUACCAAGGCUUGGAAGGGUAGCCGGCCUGGGAGGGGGACCGGCCCCAUUAGGCCUGCGAUACGGCCCAGACUCCUACCGGACGCAGCGGUGGAGAGUAUUACACAGUAGGCUGGAGGCAGAUGCGGUAACGCCGCGUGCGGGAUGACGGGCUUCGGGUAGGGAACCAAUGUCGCCUUUGCCGAGGCGUGAGUGACGGUAACGGGUAAAGAAGCACCGGCUAACUACGUG